UACGGAGGGUGCAAGCGUUAUCCGGAUUUACUGGGUUUAAAGGGUGCGUAGGCGGGCUUUUAAGUCAGCGGUGAAAUCUCCGGGCUCAACCCGGAAAUUGCCGUUGAUACUAUUAGCCUUGAAUUAAGUUGAGGUGGGCGGAAUAAGUCAUGUAGCGGUGAAAUGCUUAGAUAUGACUUAGAACACCGAUUGCGAAGGCAGCUCGCUAAACUUAUAUUGACGCUGAGGCACGAAAGCGGGGGGAUCAAACAGG
This 253-nucleotide ribosomal RNA is filed under the name uncultured bacterium. Its description in RNAcentral is "partial 16S ribosomal RNA". It matches the Rfam family "Bacterial small subunit ribosomal RNA", at positions 524 to 776 of the family's 1533-position model. The record is from RNAcentral.